GCUGUAGCCGGGUCAGAGGCGGGCGCGGAGGGGGCGUGUGGGAGAGGGAAACACGGAGCGAUGGGUGAAGUGUCAAAUGUCGCGUCUGGACGAGUUUGUCUCAGGAAACGGGUGAGGAAGUGAGUCCCACCCACAGAGGAGACACAGGGACGAGAGAGGAUAUCAACUCGUCCACCACAACAAUAAAGGUGGAUUCUUUUCUCUCAUGUCUGCUCCUGAACCUCAUCAGGUUUACUUCUUCUUUCUGUGCUUUUCUUUGGAACAACGCUUCAUGGACAAAGGAGAAAUUCAACUUGUCAACUGGACAAAAGUUGACAAAUCAGCCACGGACUCUACUGGACGACUGGGGGACUGUACACACAACACAUAGUAUGACACAUUUGACUGACAGCUGGUAGGGGUGUAAGAAAAAAUCGAUUCAGUGAUAUAUUGUGAUACUUCACUGCGCAAUUCUCAAAUAGAUUCAAAAUGGAUCCGAAUCGAUUUUUAAAAUUUUCAUAAAAAUUCAUUCACUGAAUUUUUCUGUUCUCUUCACUGUUCUCAUGAUUUAAAAAUAAAUAUAAAAAUGAUA
This is a long non-coding RNA of Boleophthalmus pectinirostris (great blue-spotted mudskipper), 571 nucleotides long. RefSeq lists it as uncharacterized. The record is from RefSeq and is a predicted model, not a curated record. NCBI's taxonomy places the organism in Eukaryota, Metazoa, Chordata, Actinopteri, Gobiiformes, Gobiidae. The transcript has 2 exons.